GACGAACGCUGGCGGCGUGCUUAACACAUGCAAGUCGAACGCUGAAGCUCAGCUUUUGUUGGGUGGAUGAGUGGCGAACGGGUGAGUAACACGUGAGUAACCUGCCCCCUUCUUUGGGAUAACGCCCGGAAACGGGUGCUAAUACUGGAUAUUCACUGGUCUUCGCAUGGGGGUUGGUGGAAAGGAUUUUUCUGGUGGGGGAUGGGCUCGCGGCCUAUCAGCUUGUUGGUGGGGUGAUGGCCUACCAAGGCUUUGACGGGUAGCCGGCCUGAGAGGGUGACCGGUCACAUUGGGACGGAGAUACGGCCCAGACUCCUACGGGGGGCAGAAGUGGGGAAUAUUGCACCAUGGGCGCAAGCCUGAUGCAGCGACGCCGCGUGAGGGAUGGAGGCCUUCGGGUUGUGAACCUCUUUCGCUCAUGGUCAAGCCGCAACAAUGGUUGUGGUGAGGGUAGUGGGUAAAGAAGCGCCGGCUAACUACGUG
Molecule: ribosomal RNA, 483 nt
Filed under: uncultured bacterium
Lineage: Bacteria
Description: partial 16S ribosomal RNA
Rfam family: Bacterial small subunit ribosomal RNA
Source: RNAcentral